CAGUCGCCACGGUAAUACAGAGGCCUCAAGCGUUGUUCGGAUUCAUUGGGCGUAAAGGGAGCGUAGGCGGUCGGGUAAGUUGGAUGUGAAAUCCUGGGGCUCAACCUCAGAACUGCAUUCAAUACUGCUUGGCUAGAGUAUUGGAGAGGUGAGUGGAAUUCACGGUGUAGCAGUGAAAUGCGUAGAUAUUGUGAGGAAGACCAGCGGCGAAGGCGGCUCACUGGACAAUUACUGACGCUGAUGCUCGAAGGCCAGGGGAGCAAACGGGAUUAGAUACCCCCGUAGUCCCUGUCUCUUAUAA
RNAcentral lists this ribosomal RNA (301 nucleotides) under uncultured bacterium. RNAcentral's name for it is "partial 16S ribosomal RNA". It matches the Rfam family "Bacterial small subunit ribosomal RNA", at positions 509 to 809 of the family's 1533-position model. The record is from RNAcentral.